RNAcentral lists this ribosomal RNA (440 nucleotides) under uncultured bacterium. Its description in RNAcentral is "partial 16S ribosomal RNA". It matches the Rfam family "Bacterial small subunit ribosomal RNA", at positions 338 to 795 of the family's 1533-position model. The record is from RNAcentral.
CCUACGGGUGGCAGCAGUAGGGAAUAUUGCUCAAUGGGGGAAACCCUGAAGCAGCAACGCCGCGUGGAGGAUGAAGGCCUUCGGAUUGUAAACCCCUUUUGUUAGAGAAGAUAAAGACGGUACCUAACGAAUAAUCACCGGCCAACUCCGUUCCAGCAGCCGCGGUACUACGGAGGGUGCAAGCGUUAUCCGGAAUCACUGGGCGUAAAGGGCGCGUAGGCGGGAUAGCAAGUCAGGUGUGAAAUCCUAGGGCUUAACCAUAGAACUGCAUUUGAAACUGGUAUUCUAGAGUGGGGGAGAGGUAGGUGGAAUGCUUGGUGUAGCGGUGAAAUGCGUAGAGAUCGAGAGGAAGACUGAUUGCGAAGGCGACAUGCUGGACCAUAACUGACGCUGAGGCACGAAAGCGUGGGGAGCGAACAGGAUUAGAUACCCGAGUAGUC